Molecule: ribosomal RNA, 207 nt
Filed under: uncultured bacterium
Lineage: Bacteria
Description: partial 16S ribosomal RNA
Rfam family: Bacterial small subunit ribosomal RNA
Source: RNAcentral
UGCGUAGGCGGCCUGGCAGGUUGGGUGUGAAAGCCCUCGGCUCAACCGAGGAAUUGCGCUCAAAACCGUCAGGCUUGAGGGAGAUAGAGGUGAGCGGAACUGAUGGUGGAGCGGUGAAAUGCGUUGAUAUUAUCAGGAACACCGGUGGCGAAAGCGGCUCACUGGGUCUCUUCUGACGCUGAGGCACGAAAGCUAGGGGAGCGAACG